UGGAGACACCUGAAGGAGAACAGAAUCAGGAAAGUGAUGGCCACCAAGAUUCAGGCGUGGUGGCGUGGAAUCAUGGUCCGGAAAGGAUAUGGAUCCUACGAAGAGCUACUAAAAGCCCGGAAGAAAGGAAAAUCCCCUCCAAAGGAUAAGAAAGGAAAAGCAGCCCCAAAAGGAAAACCCGCAAAAGGGAAUAAAAAAUAAUUAUGUAAAUGGGUGAAUGAAAAUAAAGAUUGCUAACAGAGCA
This 244-nucleotide long non-coding RNA is filed under the name Rattus norvegicus (Norway rat). Its description in RNAcentral is "long non-coding RNA NONRATT016301". Lineage: Eukaryota; Metazoa; Chordata; Mammalia; Rodentia; Muridae. The record is from RNAcentral.